AGAGAAGCAAUACCGCGAGGUGGAGCAAAACUUCAAAAAUAGGUCUCAGUUCGGACUGUAGGCUGCAACUCGCCUACACGAAGUUGGAAUUGCUAGUAAUCGUGGAUCAGCAUGCCACGGUGAAUACGUUCCCGGGUCUUGUACACACCGCCCGUCACACCAUGGGAGCUGGUAACACCCGAAGUCAGUAGUCUAACCGCAAGGAGGACGCUGCCGAAGGUGGGAUUAGCGACUGGGGUGAAGUCGUAACAAGGUACC
RNAcentral lists this ribosomal RNA (258 nucleotides) under uncultured bacterium. Its description in RNAcentral is "partial 16S ribosomal RNA". It matches the Rfam family "Bacterial small subunit ribosomal RNA", at positions 1243 to 1500 of the family's 1533-position model. The record is from RNAcentral.